RNAcentral lists this ribosomal RNA (322 nucleotides) under uncultured eukaryote. RNAcentral's name for it is "partial 18S ribosomal RNA". It matches the Rfam family "Eukaryotic small subunit ribosomal RNA", at positions 1470 to 1796 of the family's 1831-position model. The record is from RNAcentral.
CCCUUAGAUGUUCUGGGCCGCACGCGUGCUACACUGAGUAAUUCAAUGGGUAAGGGAACGCUAGAGCAUUACCUAAUCUUGAAAUUUGCUCGUGAUGGGGAUCGACGGUUGCAAUUUUCCGUCGUGAACGAGGAAUACCUUGUAGGCGCAUGUCAUCAUCAUGCGCCGAAUACGUCCCUGCCCUUUGUACACACCGCCCGUCGCUCCUACCGAUUGAGUGAUCCGGUGAGGCUCUGGGACCUGGACGGAAAGAGCGUUUCUCUUGUUCUGUUUGGGAAACUUGGUCGAACCUUAUCAUUUAGAGGAAGGAGAAGUCGUAACA